GGGCCGGGCCGGGCGGGCGGGGCCGCGGCGGAAGGCUGCUGAUAAAAUACCUGGUAGGGGCAACUUCUUGUACGGAGUCACGAUACAGCGGCGGUACACGGGUUACUACAGAUCUCACGGAGCACAGCAGACACGCACACCGUCACAAUGUUCGGAGGGAGGGCGCCCGGCGUUGCACUUACCGCUGUAAACUUCUUCGUGGGCUGCGCUUUGCUCGGUGCCUCACGCUGCAGGUUCGUCAGAGCCCAGUCCGCUACAAGGGGCCUGCGGCAGGGCCAGGGCUGCUUGCAUGUCAUAUCGGGACCACCAGCUCCUCAAUAACAAGUGCGUAAAUCUGCUAAGAGCAUUCAAUACAGGUGAUGAACUGAUGGAAAAGAAAAAGAAAACUCCAGGCAAAGAACGGCAAGCAUUUAAACGUAGAUGAAACCGUGCAGAGAAGUAGCAAGCCAUGCUCUACGACAGGACAGACAGUCACGGGCUCUAUGGCUACCCUUUGGCAAAGUGGCCCUCCGUGGGUCGAACAUGCCACUAACUUAAACUUCAUAUGCACAGGUGGUUGAUAGUUAUCCAGUUGCUCAGCAGCACGUUUGCAAUUAAACCCU
Long non-coding RNA from Rhea pennata, 602 nucleotides. RefSeq lists it as uncharacterized. The record is from RefSeq and is a predicted model, not a curated record. The transcript is spliced from 3 exons. NCBI's taxonomy places the organism in Eukaryota, Metazoa, Chordata, Aves, Rheiformes, Rheidae.